This 2114-nucleotide ribosomal RNA is filed under the name groundwater metagenome. Its description in RNAcentral is "bacterial LSU rRNA". It matches the Rfam family "Bacterial large subunit ribosomal RNA", at positions 765 to 2856 of the family's 2925-position model. The record is from RNAcentral.
ACUGGAGGGCCGAACCCACGUCUGUUGAAAAAGACGGGGAUGAGCUGUGGAUCGGAGUGAAAGGCUAAUCAAGCUCGGAGAUAGCUGGUUCUCCUCGAAAGCUAUUUAGGUAGCGCCUCGUGUAUAACUGUUGGGGGUAGAGCACUGUUUCGGCUAGGGGGUCGUCUAGAUUUACCAACCCGAUGCAAACUCCGAAUACCAACAAGUUUGAGCACGGGAGACACACGGCGGGUGAUAAGGUCCGUCGUGAAAAGGGAAACAGCCCAGACCGUCAGCUAAGGUCCCAAAAUCUAGGCUCAGUGGGAAACGAUGUGAGAAGGCACAGACAGCCAGGAGGUUGGCUUAGAAGCAGCCAUCCUUUAAAGAAAGCGUAAUAGCUCACUGGUCGAGUCGGCUUGCGCGGAAGAUUUACCGGGGCUAAGCCUAGUACCGAAGCUACGGAUCACACUUAGGUGUGGUGGUAGAGGAGCGUUCUGUAAGCCUGCGAAGGUGCAUUGAGAAGUGUGCUGGAGGUAUCAGAAGUGCGAAUGCUGACAUGAGUAACGAUAAUGGGGGUGAAAAACCCCCACGCCGAAAACCCAAGGUUUCCUGCGCAACGCUAAUCGACGCAGGGUUAGUCGGUACCUAAGGCGAGGCCGAAAGGCGUAGUCGAUGGCAAACAGGUUAAUAUUCCUGUACCGGUCGUAACUGCGAUGGGGUGACGGAGAAGGCUAGGUCAGCCGACUGUUGGAAUAGUUGGUUUAAGCGUGUAGGGAGGGGGAUUAGGCAAAUCCGGUCCCCUAAUUCUGAGACGUGAUGACGGAUUUUAGCUUCGGCUAAGAUGAAGUGAUUGAUGCCCUGCUUCCAAGAAAAACCUCUAAGCUUCAGGUUACGAGUGGCCGUACUGUAAACCGACACAGGUGGGUGGGAUGAGAAUUCUAAGGCGCUUGAGAGAACUCGGCUGAAGGAACUAGGCAAAAUGGUACCGUAACUUCGGGAUAAGGUACGCCUUGGUUAGGUGAAGUCCCUUGCGGAUGGAGCUGAGCAAGGUAGCAUAAAAUUGGUGGCUGCGACUGUUUAGCAAAAACAUAGCACUCUGCAAACUCGAAAGAGGAAGUAUAGGGUGUGACGCCUGCCCGGUGCUGGAAGGUUAAUUGAUGGGGUUAGCGUAAGCGAAGCUCUUGAUCGAAGCCCCAGUAAACGGCGGCCGUAACUAUAACGGUCCUAAGGUAGCGAAAUUCCUUGUCGGGUAAGUUCCGACCUGCACGAAUGGCGUAACGAUGGCCACACUGUCUCCAGCCGAGACUCAGUGAAAUUGAAAUUGCGGUGAAGAUGCCGUAUACCCGCGGCUAGACGGAAAGACCCCGUGAACCUUUACUAUAGCUUGACACUGGACUUUGAAUCGAUUUGUGUAGGAUAGGUGGGAGACUAUGAAGCGGCCACGCCAGUGGUUGUGGAGUCAACCUUGAAAUACCACCCUGGUUUAUUUGAAGUUCUAACCUAGGUCCGUAAUCCGGAUUGGGGACAGUGUCUGGUGGGUAGUUUGACUGGGGCGGUCUCCUCCCAAAGAGUAACGGAGGAGCACGAAGGUACCCUCAGCCUGGUCAGAAAUCAGGCGCUGAGUGCAAUGGCAUAAGGGUGCUUGACUGCGAGACAGACAAGUCGAGCAGGUACGAAAGUAGGUCAUAGUGAUCCGGUGGUUCUGAAUGGAAGGGCCAUCGCUCAACGGAUAAAAGGUACUCCGGGGAUAACAGGCUGAUACCGCCCAAGAGUUCAUAUCGACGGCGGUGUUUGGCACCUCGAUGUCGGCUCAUCACAUCCUGGGGCUGAAGCAGGUCCCAAGGGUAUGGCUGUUCGCCAUUUAAAGUGGUACGCGAGCUGGGUUCAGAACGUCGUGAGACAGUUCGGUCCCUAUCUGCCGUGGGCGUUUGAGAUUUGAGGGAAGCUGCUCCUAGUACGAGAGGACCGGAGUGGACGAACCGCUGGUGUUCCGGUUGUCAUGCCAAUGGCAUUGCCGGGUAGCUAUGUUCGGACAGGAUAACCGCUGAAAGCAUCUAAGCGGGAAGCCCCUCCCAAGAUGAGAUCUCACUGGGACUUAAAGUCCCCUGAAGGGCCGUCGGAGACUACGACGUUGA